AGCGAACGCUGGCGGCAGGCUUAACACAUGCAAGUCGAACGGGCGUAGCAAUACGUCAGUGGCAGACGGGUGAGUAACGCGUGGGAACGUACCUUUUGGUUCGGAACAACCCAGGGAAACUUGGGCGUAAUACUGGAUAAGCCCUUACCGGGGAAAGGAUUUAUCGCCGAAAGAAUCGGCCCGCGUCUGAUUAGCUAGUUGGUGUGGUAACGGCGCACCAAGGCGACGAUCAGUAGCUGGUCUGAGAGGAUGAUCAGCCACAUUGGGACUGAGACACGGCCCAAACUCCUACGGGAGGCAGCAGUGGGAAGUAUUGGACAAUGGGCGGCAAGCCUGAUCCAGCCAUGCCGCGUGAGUGAUGAAGGCCCUAGGGUUGUAAAGC
This 382-nucleotide ribosomal RNA is filed under the name uncultured bacterium. Its description in RNAcentral is "bacterial SSU rRNA". It matches the Rfam family "Bacterial small subunit ribosomal RNA", at positions 29 to 431 of the family's 1533-position model. The record is from RNAcentral.